CCCUGGGUGUUGAAACAGUAAAGGAUUGCGAUGUACUCAUAUUGGUGACAAAUGUUUGAAGUUUACAUGUGGACAACUGCAGUUCUCCUCUGCACACAUGUAGACAAGGAACUGAACGGAAUAAAAUGAAUUAAAACUUAAUACAACCAAAUGUAGCUGCAUUCGUUCCUUCCCAUUUACUUCUUUAGAAUGAUUUGUAAACAAC
Molecule: long non-coding RNA, 205 nt
Filed under: Mytilus galloprovincialis (Mediterranean mussel)
Lineage: Eukaryota; Metazoa; Mollusca; Bivalvia; Mytilida; Mytilidae
Source: RNAcentral